RNAcentral lists this ribosomal RNA (540 nucleotides) under uncultured Geobacteraceae bacterium. RNAcentral describes it as "bacterial SSU rRNA". It matches the Rfam family "Bacterial small subunit ribosomal RNA", at positions 9 to 526 of the family's 1533-position model. The record is from RNAcentral. Lineage: Bacteria; Pseudomonadati; Thermodesulfobacteriota; Desulfuromonadia; Geobacterales; Geobacteraceae.
GAGUUUGAUCCUGGCUCAGAACGAACGCUGGCGGCGUGCCUAACACAUGCAAGUCGAACGUGAUCCAGAGCUUGCUCYGGUGAAAGUGGCGCACGGGUGAGUAACGCGUGGAUAACCUACCCUGGUAUCCGGGAUAACAUUCCGAAAGGGGUGCUAAUACCGGAUAAGCCCACGGGCUCUUUGGAGCUUGCGGGAAAAGGUGGCCUCUAUUUAUAAGCUACUGUAUCAGGAUGGGUCCGCGUACCAUUAGCUAGUUGGCGGUGUAACGGACCACCAAGGCGACGAUGGUUAGCUGGUCUGAGAGGAUGAUCAGCCACACUGGAACUGAGUCACGGUCCAGACUCCUACGGGAGGCAGCAGUGGGGAAUUUUGCGCAAUGGGGGAAACCCUGACGCAGCAACGCCGCGUGAGUGAUGAAGGCCUUUGGGUCGUAAAGCUCUGUCAGAGGGGAAGAAAUGAUAUAGUGCUAAUACCACUUUAUCUUGACGGUACCCUCAAAGGAAGCACCGGCUAACUCCGUGCCUGCAGCCGCGGUAAUAC